UUCAGAACGACACAAUUUUGA
RNAcentral lists this non-coding RNA (21 nucleotides) under Caenorhabditis elegans. The record is from RNAcentral. Lineage: Eukaryota; Metazoa; Nematoda; Chromadorea; Rhabditida; Rhabditidae.